CUGAAGUUAAAUUAAAAUGGAUCAAAAUUGUUUGAAGAAAAAAGAAAAAGAAAAAACAGACUCCUUAAUUAACUUGCUACACAUAUCAACACAAUUUUGAAUAUAAAUGAGCAUAUUUCAUAGAUAAUAUCCAUUUUCUUUUAUUUAUAACAUAUAUAUAUAUAAUAAAUUCAUCUGAAGAUCAGCAUAGCCUGCUUUAAUGGGGCAAUUCAUCAGCCAUUUUAGUCUCCGAAUUGUUACAAUUUAUUCGACAACGACAAUGUUUCACACAUUUUAUAAACCAAACGCAGCAUUCAAUACCAUUUCCUGUAAAAUAUAUAUAUCAAAAACAAAAAUUUAUUAUUUUCACCUUAUAUUAGUUAGAAUAAUAAUAAUAAUAAAAAAAAAACAGGAUAAUAUGCUAAAAACUCACCUUCAAUAUUUUUACUACUAUUAUUAUGGACCGCAACCUUAGUUGUUAGUGCAGGCCUAGGAAGCUUCACAAUGGUAGUAUCUGCAUUUGUCGAAGUAGCUAAGAAUGUUAUGCUUAUGAAGAGGUAUGAGAAGAGAACAAACACCACAAUUUCCUUUCUAACCAUCUUUUCGAUCCAAUACAAUUUUUCUUCUAUCUGUUGGCUAAUUAUAACCUUUGGUAUUUAUAAUACUACCCCGUUCCAUUAUUUUAAACUUAGUUU
RNAcentral lists this long non-coding RNA (674 nucleotides) under Arachis ipaensis. RNAcentral's name for it is "long non-coding RNA (AIPA_LNC002047)". Lineage: Eukaryota; Viridiplantae; Streptophyta; Magnoliopsida; Fabales; Fabaceae. The record is from RNAcentral.